RNAcentral lists this ribosomal RNA (478 nucleotides) under uncultured bacterium. Its description in RNAcentral is "partial 16S ribosomal RNA". It matches the Rfam family "Bacterial small subunit ribosomal RNA", at positions 28 to 507 of the family's 1533-position model. The record is from RNAcentral.
GAUGAACGCUGGCGGCGUGCUUAACACAUGCAAGUCGAACGAUAAAUGUAGACGGAAACCUUCUUGCGGAAGCCGUCAUUUCGAGUGGCGGACUGGUGAGUAACGCGUGUGUAACCUGCCUCAUACAGGGGGAUAACAUUUGGAAACGACUGUUAAUACCGCAUAAGACCACGGCAUCGCAUGAUGCGGGGGUAAAAACUCCGGUGGUAUGAGAUGGACCCGCGUUCGAUUAGCCAGUUGGCGGGGUAACGGCCCACCAAAGCGACGAUAGACAGCCGAGCAGAGAGGAAGACCGGCCACAUUGGGAAUGAGACACAGCCCGAAAUCCUACGGGAGGCAGGAGUGGGGAAUAUUGCAAAAUGGGGGGAACGCUGAUGCAGCGACGCCGCGUGAGUGCAGAAGUACUUCGGUAUGUAAAGAUAUAUCAGCAGGGAAGAAAAUGACGGUACCUGAGUAAGAAGCCCCGGCUAACUACGUG